This 119-nucleotide ribosomal RNA is filed under the name Rhodnius prolixus. Lineage: Eukaryota; Metazoa; Arthropoda; Insecta; Hemiptera; Reduviidae. The record is from RNAcentral.
GCCAACGGCCAUACCAUGUUGAAUACACCGGUUCUCGUCCGAUCACCGAAGUUAAGCAACAUCGGGCGUGGUUAGUACCUGGAUGGGUGACCGCCUGGGAACACCGCGUGCUGUUGGUA